Molecule: ribosomal RNA, 253 nt
Filed under: uncultured bacterium
Lineage: Bacteria
Description: partial 16S ribosomal RNA
Rfam family: Bacterial small subunit ribosomal RNA
Source: RNAcentral
UACGAGGGGGGCGAGCGUUGUUCGGAAUUAUUGGGCGUAAAGGGUGCGUAGGCGGUUUGGUAAGUCUUAUAUGAAAUCUAUGGGCUCAACUCAUAGUCUGCAUGAGAAACUGCCGGGCUUGAGUAUGGGAGAGGUGAGUGGAAUUCCUGGUGUAGCGGUGAAAUGCGUAGAUAUCAGGAGGAACACCGGUGGCGAAGGCGGGUCUCUGGGCCGAUACUGACGCUGAGGAGCGAAAGCGUGGGGAGCGAACAGG